RNAcentral lists this ribosomal RNA (849 nucleotides) under Triticum aestivum (bread wheat). RNAcentral describes it as "partial small subunit ribosomal RNA". Lineage: Eukaryota; Viridiplantae; Streptophyta; Magnoliopsida; Poales; Poaceae. The record is from RNAcentral.
AUGUCUAUCCAGCCUGCCGAUCGCGCCAGCACGUGUCGAGGUCACCUGCACAACCUAGGCAGCACCUGCCCGCUCCCCGUCGAUCCACUGUCCAUGGAUCACGGCCUUAAGAUUGCUGUAUGGAAUGUGCGCGGUCUGAAUUCGCGGAGCCGGCGCACAGCCAUUCGCUCACUGUUGGACACCACCGCUGCCUCCAUUGUAUGCUUGCAGGAAACUAAGAUGGAGUUACUUUGUUCGUCUGUUGUUCUUGACACCCUCGGUUCAGAGUUCGAUGACCACACAUACCUCCCAGCUCUUGGCACACGGGGCGGCAUCUUACUGGCUUGGAAGAGCAGGGCCGUGACCAUCACGGACCCGUUGUUCACCACGAAUGCCCUCUUGGCCAGAGUGGCCACGGCCUCGGGCACCCCUUGGUGGCUCUCUGUCGUGUAUGGACCUCAAGACGACGCGGACAAAAUUGCGUUCUUGCUUGAGCUGCGGGAGAUUCGUGUGGCCUGUCCCGGGCCAUGGAUGCUUUGCGGAGACUUCAACCUCAUCCUGCGCGACGAGGACAAGAACAACGGCAACUUAAAUCGUCGUAUGAUGGGUAGAUUCCGCCGCCUCGUCAAUGACCUUGCGCUUAAGGAGGUCUACCUCAACGGGCGUCGCUUCACGUGGUCGAACGAGCAGUCCCCUCCCACUCUUGUGCACCUGGACCGUGUGCUCUGCACCUCGGACUGGGAGGAUGCACAUGGCGAAUGUCACCUUCGCUGCCUUGCGACGGUCAUCUCGGACCACUCCCCCUGCUGCUGGACUGCUCCCCCAUGCCCACGGCGCAUAGACGAUUUCAUUUUGAGGACUUUUGGUUGA